UCAACCUACCGUAGUUAUUAUAACUCUUUCCGUUGUUCAACUUUAGGACCAAAUGUAGCUACAGAUUUAUCAUAAUACAGGUUUCUAGCUGGUGUUUUUAUCUUAUUAUCUGCCAGUAUUCCUUAGGACAAGUAUUGUGUGUAUUGUGGGAGAGUUGAUAGUUUUGGCUACUGUGUGUAUUGUGUGACAUGUCUAGUUGUUUGAUUUGUGUGUAUUAUUGUCUAGCUAUUUGAUUUGUGAAGUGAGCUACUACAUGUGUGUAUUGUCUAUGGUGUAUAAUAUUGAAAAGAACAAGGUUGUUAGCAUGCAUAAAUUAUCUCAACAUUAUAAUUUGAGUUGCGUAUAUUAUUUUAUAAUUGUAGAAAAAGUUAAAGGAACAAACUGCUAUUGCCAAGACUUUGCAGAGCACUCAACACCCGGACAUCCCACUGGAUCAGCUACCUCCUUUGGACUGGCCAACUUAACUAAGUGUUGUGCAAAACGCUAUGGGAGAAAUAAAAGGGUCUUACCUUCGUGGUAUUGGACGAGCAGGCGUCCCAGAGAAGAGCAGAAGGUCAACAUCUUCCCCUUCACGCUCUUGACCGAUUAAUAAUGAGGCGAUGGCAGAGAUAGUGGCUUCUAGAAAGGAGGCAGCUGAGGCACAAGAGAGGGCUGAAAAAACCUAGAAGAUCGCUGAGCAGUCUGCUGCAGAUUAUCAAGUGUUGAAGUUGCAAAUGGAUCAAGCUCGAAUAUGGCUACAUCAAUCCUAUGUGUUCACCCUCGGUCCCAAGCCAACAACCUCGAGACGACGAUAAUGAUAGCGGUCUUGACACUUCUUCAAUUAGUUUAGGAAAUCACACUAUGGACCUCUCAUGCCAAAAACUUUAUAUUUUUGUUGCUUGUUAUAAAGACUUAUGUUGUUUGAUUGUCUAUUGGACCUCACAUUCUUAUUGCUUGUUAUAAACACUUAUGUUGUUUGAUUGUUAUAAGAACUUCAUAUAUAACAAAAUUAAGAACUGAACUUUAUUGAAUGUUAAUAAUCCACUUCAAUUACAAAAUCAUUUGAAUAAGAAAGAUUACAUGCGGAUAGCAACAAUACCUAUUGAUCUAAAUCUACAUAUCACUGCAUUCUCAUUGCUCCUUGAGGAACUUUGAGCCAUGUUCCAUUCUUUGCUGGUCGAAUACACCGUGUAGCAGCUUGCAAGCUUGUUUUCCAGAAUGUCUUCUUGCUCUGCCAAUUCUCCAGUUGACUCGAGAGUUCUUUUGAGCCAAAGCUGCAACUAUGAUCUCCCUGAGAUAAUCUGACCAGUGCAAAGCAAAAAAACCAGUAGUUGAGGAGCACUUGAAUCUAUCAUCCAAACAUCAUUCUGCUUUCUGUUAUUGUCAAUAACAUAAGACAAUGUAUGCAACUAGGAAACAAAGAAGUUGGACCAAAAUGCCUAGGGCAAUAAUACUUAUAUAACAACACAUCAAAUACUUAACUGCCAAUAAUAGAGUAUUGACCCCACUUUUUUUAUUUAUUUGAUCUGAGCAAGAACCUUAUACCAAAAAAAUCUGAAGCCAAAUACAGAACAAUACAUCUAUGACAUAGGUAAGUUGCCCCUUUUUUUCCUUUUUCAUCUUUUGGUCAGGAUGUAGGCAUGCACUUUCUCUUUUUCUCUCAAAAAAGAAGAAGGAUGUAGGCAUGCAGAGAUUGAAGGAAAUAUAACACUAGAGAAGCACAACAGAUCAAGCUAAUACACAUCAAAUAAAACUCGCCUUUUACUUAUAACUUAAUACCAAUUAACUUAUACUUGGAACCUGCCGAGUCCAAUACCAGAAUCUAUGGUAGAACAAGUUUGAUAGAAUUUACCAAUAACUUUUGACUUAUGAAUUCAAAGACAACCCAACACUUUAUAUUCAGUCCUUAACGAUCAAGAACCAAGCUUACAUGAUUAAGGUAUUAAUUCAAUACCUUCCAACUUCUUUGAACUACUGCUCUUGUGACUUAAAAAGAUGAUCUUGUCAUCUAGCAAACUUUAAUUACUAUCACAACAUCAAUAUGCUAUAACAAUACACCCAGACCCAUACUCAAAAGAUCACAACCAGUCUUCCAAAGUAUGAUUAAAUGGGUAUAUACCUUUAAUUGAAAGCAACCAGAGGAUGGCCUUAAGUUUCUGGCUUCCUUCACAGCAACAAACAGAGUCCUCCCGUGGUUCACCUCCUCCACCACCUCACCAAUUCUGAUAACAAGUAUACCCAAACCUCAAAUUCAAUCUCAAUCCAUUUAAAUGAUCGAGAAAAUGACCCAAAAGGUAUCCAAAUACCCAUGUACAUGCCGAAAUGUGUAAUGCACCUUUGACUUAAAAACUCUAAUUGACAAAAGAAAAUUUGGUCAAAAUCCUAAUAGAUUUCUACAUAAGAAUAAUACUAUGGGGAGUAAUUGAAUUACAACGUAGGUUGUAGUAAUAACUAAACAUCCUUUCAUGCAGAAAAAAGUUGUACAAGCCCUGCAUAGGAACGCCGAAGAACUUCUCUUGUUGAUUUAAAUUGACACCCGGGACAAAAAGUGAAAAAUGAAAAAGACAACUGAUACAAAACUGAUGGUUUACAGAUCAAUGGCUUACUAAGUCAGAAAAAGAUAACUUUUAAUUAUUAUUGGGACAUGGACAUUGUAAAAAGGAUGAGUAAUACAUGAUUUUCUUAUACGACAACCGGAUCACUACCUUUGUGUCUUAGUAGGUAGCCUGAUGCAAAAUUAACAGAGUUAUAAGUUAAGUAUUGAAACCACAUUGGCCAAGUAUUGAUACCGACAUGGCAAAUGCUCAUUAUUCCUACUACAUAUUUGUGCAUUGUUCUGAUUUAUCUAUUGUAUUCAAGUACAUGAAUGUCUAAAUUGACUAUCAUCUAGACAUAUACUGGUUCCCUAGAAAUAUAUAGGCAUUCGUGUUGCACUAUAUAUAAACAAAACCAAAUAUGGAAGAAACAAAACAAGAAAAUGAUGACCCGAAGUGGAAAAAUUGUGCCUCUGUAGAAAUCUAACGGGAUGUAUAAAUGAGGAGGCAAACACAUUGGUAAUAAAAGUUCCUAUAAACCACCUGAUCAACUUUAGCCUUCGCAGAGAUCUAAACUUGUUGAGCACUUCAUACUCAUAAUUGAGAACUUCGCAGCUUUGAUUGUCGUUGAAGAAGCAAGCAAGGGCAGAAGCGCCGGAAGGCAGAAAAACAACCCAGAAAAGAGAAAAAUAAAUCCAACCAAAUACGAAAGCUAAACAUAGCGGAAUGUCGAGAAAUAAGAAACCCCAAAUCUAUAACCCAAUUGGUAGAAAUCCCAAAUCGUAAACCUUAGAUCCCAAAACAAAGAAAUGUCAAAAACCCUAACUGCUAGCAACGAUUUACGAAGAGGAACAAUCACAAAUACACAACUCAAAAACCCCAAAUUGUAAACCCAGAUCCCAAAACAAAUCAAAUUCGAAAACCCUAGAUAGAGAGUCUUACCAGCUAGCGAGGAGUAGAGCUAUGAAUGAGAGCUCAGAGUCAUCGAGAGGCGGAGAGGGAAGAAACGUGUUCUGAGAGAGGGAGAGAAAGUGGCGUCGAGAGAGAAAAGAGAUGGUCUUCUUGAUGAACUCCACAGAUUCGGCAAAUGAAGAUGUGGAUGGUGAAUUGGUGGGUAGGAGGGCUGACGGCAGCGGAGAGAGGGUUGGGAGGGCUGACGGCAGCGGAGAGAUGGUUGAGCGUCGAUGCAGGAGCCCCUCUCGCCUCAGUCUCUCUUUCCCUCUCGAACUGAAAUGGAAGAGGCUGGGGUUUCUUACCCUCGUAAGUGUUGACCCAACGGUUCAGAUGAGAAAAGAAAGGAUGUAGGGCUAGGAUUAAUUGUUGCCUUUAAAAAUUAGAAAUAGUUGACCAGCAUCUUGCUAACCCCUAACCUCUAAACUUAGCUUUUUUUUAUUCACCAAAGAAUUAAAACCUACUAAUGUAAUACAUGUUUACUAGCUAGGUUACAUCUAAACGUAUAUCAUUAUAAACCAAUUAUAUGGACGAAAUAAAAUUUGCAAAAUUUGAUUGUACGAUGUGAUCACAAUAGUCAAUUAUGUGUACAAUAGCAAACUUACCUAUUUUCGAUAACGUUUGGGUCUCAAUCGCAUGGGUCAACUUUAUUUACGUUUAAACUUCCAUGUGCUUCCUUAUGAGGAACUAUAUAAUCGGUUUAUAAAUAUGUCCAAAUUUUUACAAGGAUCAGUUUCGCCAAUACUCAAUGAGAGUUUGAGUAUUGAGGAAUCAAAAAUAUAAGUUUCGGUCGAAGUAGAUAAGAGCG
This 4272-nucleotide long non-coding RNA is filed under the name Fragaria vesca (wild strawberry). RNAcentral describes it as "long non-coding RNA (FVES_LNC000917)". Lineage: Eukaryota; Viridiplantae; Streptophyta; Magnoliopsida; Rosales; Rosaceae. The record is from RNAcentral.